AUUAAUUAUGCAUUUUUAGAGAUAGAAGAACAUACAUUUAGAUAUCCUUCUCCCCACAUAUUAUUCUUCAUGCUAUUUUGUCUCCCUUUCUUUCUAUUUUUUCAUUUGUUUCUCCCUCCUCCCUUUUCCUAUUUUCUGGCUCUCCCUUCUCCCUAUUCUAGUUUUUUGUGUUGUUCACCCACUCACCCCUCUCUUUCUUCCUGAUUUGUUAUCCCUUUUCACUCUUUUCUGGGGGGAGGGGUACUGGGUGAAUCAUCUCAAGUACCUUAUCCCUCCACCCCCACCCCCCACCCCCUCUGGUAACCAUGGCUGACCCACCAGUGCAGGCUACAUAUACCUUUCUCAAACACUUUGAGAAAUUAUAAAGCAACAUUAUUUAUAUUUUUUUAUCUUGCAUAUUAGUUGGAGUACACUAUCGACCAUCUACAUAGUGACUACUAUUGGAAAAAGCUCUUGCUGUUUAGUAUCAUCGCCUCCAUCGCCUUCAUUGUAUACUACAUCUACAGUACUUGCUCUGUCAAUCAGCACAAGACCAACAGUACCCAGGAUGCAUCUUCGACACCUCCAAUAUCAAGUACUUCUCUAGUACUCGCAGAUAUAAUAAGGAGAAAUGAGUCAAGGAGAUUAUUCAAUGGUAUUAGAAUCAAUUCAGCUUAUCUUCCUAGAUCAUUCAGUGGAUUUGGUGGAUUCGGUUGGAAUUCAGGGAUUGUAGGGACAAAGAGGCGCUGAAAGUAGUUUUCCCCAUUACACAAAGAUAUCUUUUCUCUUAGGUGAACCUGGCAUGUAGGGGAAGUAUAUAAACAUAUAUAUAUGUUUGUCUUCAGUACCAAGUCUUCGUAGAUAUAACUUGUAAUUCAGCGUAAAAACUGUAAGAAACUGUAACGCCUUCCGCUGACGACGGAGUACAGAAAGAGAGUCAGAGAAAAUUACUGAAUUUUUUUGCGAAAACACCAAUUGAAAGAGAAUUAAAACUGAAUCCCAAAUUGCAACAAGUCGAUAUUAAUUGCAAUUGUUAAUUGUUGUUCAUUGAUAAACUGAUAUAGUUUUUAGUUAAUAUCGACGAUAUACAGAAAGAGAGAGAGCAAUUUUUUUUUUUUUGCGAACUAACAAGAAGUGUACGUAGCGUUCAUUUGAUAAAACUAUUUUCUGCAUGCAGUGU
This is a long non-coding RNA of Actinia tenebrosa (Australian red waratah sea anemone), 1159 nucleotides long. NCBI's taxonomy places the organism in Eukaryota, Metazoa, Cnidaria, Anthozoa, Actiniaria, Actiniidae. The record is from RefSeq and is a predicted model, not a curated record.